CUUUGGCCUUGUCUUGCUCAUUUGCUAUCUUGGGUACCAGAAAAGGCCACCAAGCUUCAGUUACAGAAAGCCACCCAUUACUCUUCCAAAGAUCUUUGCUUUCAACUCUUUCCUCAAUCGGAAGCCAGUUUGCUUGGAUCAAGAAGCUUCGACCAGCCAAGAAGGUAACUUUUUUCAUCUGGGUUGUGGAAGACAUUUGAGACUUGGAUUUAUAUAUGCUCCAUUUAUCUAUCAUUGAAGGUAGACAGAACUCUCCCAGA
Molecule: long non-coding RNA, 260 nt
Organism: Rosa chinensis
Lineage: Eukaryota; Viridiplantae; Streptophyta; Magnoliopsida; Rosales; Rosaceae
Exons: 3
Source: RefSeq, a predicted model, not a curated record